RNAcentral lists this ribosomal RNA (468 nucleotides) under uncultured bacterium. Its description in RNAcentral is "partial 16S ribosomal RNA". It matches the Rfam family "Bacterial small subunit ribosomal RNA", at positions 28 to 507 of the family's 1533-position model. The record is from RNAcentral.
GAUGAACGCUGGCGGCGUGCUUAACACAUGCAAGUCGAACGGUGAAGGCGGGCUUUGGUCUGCUGCUUCAGUGGCGAACGGGUGAGUAACACGUGAGUAACCUGCCCUUGACUCUGGGAUAAGUUCAGGAAACUGCGUCUAAUACUGGAUACGAGCUGCGACGGCAUGUUCAGCAGUUGGAAAGUACGUCGGUCAGGGAUGAGCUCGCGGCCUAUCAGCUUGUUGGUGAGGUAACGGCUUACCAAGGCGUCGACGGGUAGCCGGCCUGAGAGGGUGACCGGCCACACUGGGACUGAGACACGGCCCAGACUCCUACGGGAGGCAGCAGUGGGGAAUAUUGCACAAUGGGCGAAAGCCUGAUGCAGCAACGCCGCGUGAGGGACGACGGCCUUCGGGUUGUAAACCUCUUUUAGCAGGGAAGAAGCGAAAGUGACGGUACCUGCAGAAAAAGCGCCGGCUAACUACGUG